Molecule: non-coding RNA, 369 nt
Organism: Pelobates cultripes (western spadefoot toad)
Lineage: Eukaryota; Metazoa; Chordata; Amphibia; Anura; Pelobatidae
Source: the annotation of a GenBank genome assembly
GUGCCACUAUCCUCCUAUAGAGGGUUAGAGGGUUACCCUCUGUUAGGCCGCUGCCUAUCCAUUUUGUUAUUAUUAGCGCUAACCUACUUCUUUGUUUUUUCUAAAUAUUAGACCAUGCCAAAAUAGGGUAUAGUGGUUAUGGUGUUUUAAGUGCACCUUUUAUUGCUCCAUAAGAAAACUGUUCUAUAUUGUCUGAUAACAAGAUCAGGUUUAUUUACUGAACUGAGAAUUCAAAGUGAAUUCAAAGUGAAUUUCAAAUUGGAAAAUUGCAUUAAGCUAGCUAUGCUUUCACUUACCUGGCCUUAAAUUUGAAAUUCAUUUUAAAACCACUUAGAGUCCUCACUGUAGUAAAUAAACCUGCCAGUCUAG